RNAcentral lists this ribosomal RNA (271 nucleotides) under uncultured prokaryote. RNAcentral's name for it is "partial 16S ribosomal RNA". It matches the Rfam family "Bacterial small subunit ribosomal RNA", at positions 524 to 794 of the family's 1533-position model. The record is from RNAcentral.
UACGGAGGAUCCGAGCGUUAUCCGGAUUUAUUGGGUUUAAAGGGUGCGCAGGCGGGAGAUUAAGUCGGCGGUGAAAUUUUGCAGCUCAACUGUAAAAGUGCCUUCGAAACUGGUUUCCUUGAGUGUGGAUGAAGUAGGCGGAAUUUGUGGUGUAGCGGUGAAAUGCAUAGAUAUCACGAGGAACUCCGAUUGCGCAGGCAGCUUACUAAACCAUAACUGACGCUCAGGCACGAAGGCGUGGGGAUCAAACAGGAUUAGAUACCUCGGUAGU